CCGCGGCUCCGCUUAGCUAGGUGGCUGCCUCCAUGUCCUCCCUCGAACCAUCUGAUAGUUUUAAGCGGUGACAGGAGCAGAAAAGACCCCUGUAGCGGCGCUUCAUUAAUGUGCCACUUCUUAGCUAUCAUAUGACAAUCGCCUUGGGAGGAGGAGGAAGAGGAGGGGGAGCGGGGGCUGCAGAGGGAGGGGACUGAGCGAGAGGGGAGAGCCUGGCCAGCUCUCAUUUCUUUCACACCUAUUUACAUGGACACCUUGGCCAAUAGGAAUCACUUCCAGCUCAAGACUGAGCGUGGGGAAGAGCCUCGGCCACCGGAGGGGAGCAGGACGCGCUGGUCAGGGUGCACGGUGUGAAGAAAAAUCUCAAGUCAGAAGAAAGCUUUGCUGAGGCAACAUGAAGGCGUAAGACCCGAUGAAGGUAUACUGUACAGGUAAAUUCAACAUUGUCUUCGGAACAACAAAAAACCCUUUGCCUAAGCUGAUCAACACAUUUUAAAAAUGUUUAUGGCAGUUAAUGGGCAUAUAUUCACAGGCUGCUUCCAUGUCCCUACUCCUAGCUCUGGUCUCAGCAUUCAUUACGCUGUAAACACUGUAGCGAGGUGGCUCAAUUUGGGUAUUUAGUGAUGUUGUCUUUUGCAUUCUUAACAACAUGAUAAAUUAUUUGUGGCACCACUCUCCCAACAUAGUUUUUAAUUCAGGUUAAACAUUUCAGUUAGUAGCACAACUAAUGGAACCUCAGAGUGUUAAAAUAAUAAUAACAUUUUUUAAAAUAUCAAGCCAAAGGUGUGGAAAAUUCCAAAGACAUAGCAUUAAUAGGCUCAGUAAUGAGAAGCAAUCUGGGGAAAUAUAGUCUACAAACAGUUACCUUCCUACCUAGUUGCUCCCUCAUUUACAAUACACCAGGCAGAGAUUUUAAAUGGAAAGACUGCCUUAUUCAGCAGGGAAUCUCCUGAAUUUAGUACUUAGGAUGAAUUCAUUGGGGGGCAUUUAAAGGGAAUUUUUAUCUUGUCAAUUUCGAUGUGUUAAAAAACUAGUAAAAAAUGAAGUAAUUUACAUCCCAGUGUGUCUUACAUAUUCAGAAUUCCAUAUUGUUAAUUUAAGUUGACAUGUUUGCUUUAAAAAGUCAGUUACUAUAUUAAAAUUUUUCAGGAAA
This 1153-nucleotide long non-coding RNA is filed under the name Sus scrofa (pig). Its description in RNAcentral is "lncRNA (ENSSSCG00070011130.1)". The record is from RNAcentral. Lineage: Eukaryota; Metazoa; Chordata; Mammalia; Artiodactyla; Suidae.